RNAcentral lists this ribosomal RNA (783 nucleotides) under Bacillus tequilensis. Its description in RNAcentral is "bacterial SSU rRNA". It matches the Rfam family "Bacterial small subunit ribosomal RNA", at positions 301 to 1101 of the family's 1533-position model. The record is from RNAcentral. Lineage: Bacteria; Bacillati; Bacillota; Bacilli; Caryophanales; Bacillaceae.
UGAUCGGCCACACUGGGACUGAGACACGGCCCAGACUCCUACGGGAGGCAGCAGUAGGGAAUCUUCCGCAAUGGACGAAAGUCUGACGGAGCAACGCCGCGUGAGUGAUGAAGGUUUUCGGAUCGUAAAGCUCUGUUGUUAGGGAAGAACAAGUGCCGUUCGAAUAGGGCGGCACCUUGACGGUACCUAACCAGAAAGCCACGGCUAACUACGUGCCAGCAGCCGCGGUAAUACGUAAGUGGCAAGCGUUGUCCGGAAUUAUUGGGCGUAAAGGGCUCGCAGGCGGUUUCUUAAGUCUGAUGUGAAAGCCCCCGGCUCAACCGGGGAGGGUCAUUGGAAACUGGGGAACUUGAGUGCAGAAGAGGAGAGUGGAAUUCCACGUGUAGCGGUGAAAUGCGUAGAGAUGUGGAGGAACACCAGUGGCGAAGGCGACUCUCUGGUCUGUAACUGACGCUGAGGAGCGAAAGCGUGGGGAGCGAACAGGAUUAGAUACCUGGUAGUCCACGCCGUAAACGAUGAGUGCUAAGUGUUAGGGGGUUCCGCCCUUAGUGCUGCAGCUACGCAUUAACACUCCGCCUGGGGAGUACGGUCGCAGACUGAACUCAAAGAAUUGACGGGGCCCGCACAGCGGUGGAGCUGUGGUUUAUUCGAAGCACGCGAAAACCUUACAGGUCUUGACAUCUCUGACAUCCUAGAAUAGGACUCCUCUUCGGGGCAAAUGACAGGGGGGCAUGUUGUCGCCACUCGUGUCGGAGAUGUGGGUUAAGUCCCCCACGAGCCCAC